Eutrema salsugineum is the source of this 1004-nucleotide long non-coding RNA. RefSeq lists it as uncharacterized. Lineage: Eukaryota; Viridiplantae; Streptophyta; Magnoliopsida; Brassicales; Brassicaceae. The record is from RefSeq and is a predicted model, not a curated record. The transcript has 2 exons.
GUUUUCAAAGUUGGCGAUAGUUUUCAUUUCUACAUUCUUCUCUCAUUUCUCCGACGAACUCCAGGCGAAAUCGAUUUGCCUCCGGCAGCUUCUCAGUCGGAUCGCUAUUUUCAGACGGGGGCAUCAGGGUUCGAAACUUGUCUGCAAAAGGGAAGGCGAAAGAGAUAAGCUCUUAAACCUUAAUCUCCUCUCUUUAUCGGUUGAAUUUUUGUUUCGAAACCUCCGGUUCUUCUACGCCUCUUUCUCCGGCUGAUUUGGAUGCUCUCAGCGCCGAUUAUGUCUUGGAUUGCGUAAAAUCCGUAGUGAAGACAUUGAGAUACCACCAUGGAUUCUCUGGGGACCAGCUUGUUGGAUGUUAGUUGAGAUUGGGUCAUGAAUUUUACGCAGAGAAGCUGAUCGAUGAAAUGCCUGAAAGAGAUUUAGUCUCUUUGAUAUCUGGGUUUUCACGGAUUGCACCAAUUAUAUCUGCUUGUGUUCACGAGAGAAGUAGAGAAGAAGGACGCUGCGUUCACGGGCUGGUGAUGAAUCAUGUGUGCUUGAAAAAGUGCAAACUGUGAAUGCUCUUAUCAAUUGGUAUGGAGAGCUUAUAGAAUGAUCAAAGAGAUGCCAAAGAGUUUAUGGAGAUACCAAACUCGAUAAAGAAGCCGCAGAGAGGUUGUUUGAGUUGGAACCUUGUGAUAAAGGUUUGAUACAUGAUAAAAAUUCUCUCAAACGCAAGUCUUCAUCAUCUAGUUUUGUCCCGUUUUGCUCUAGUAGCGGGAAGGUUCUUCAUUCGGGAUUCAAUGCUCAGUCCACCGUGUUGAUGCUUCCUCCCAAAGAACAAACCAUGGAUUGUAAGUGAAGCUUGCUUUGAGUUGAGCUUUUUAAAUAGCAGUUGUUACAUUUGUAUAACACCGUUGUUGAAACAAGUGUCUAUGUGAAACUCCAAUUAUAAUAUUGUCUCUUGCUUACUUUUUUUGUAUAAACCCACUCUAUUGGUGUAAUUUGUCGUGUGUUUUUCAAUU